GGCUUCGUAGCUCAGCUGGUAGAGCACUUACCGCGUUGAGGCACGUUUUUUCUGUCGCUGGUACAAAUCCAGCCGAAACCC
RNAcentral lists this transfer RNA (81 nucleotides) under Paragonimus heterotremus. It matches the Rfam family "tRNA". Rfam says of the family: Transfer RNA (tRNA) molecules are approximately 80 nucleotides in length. The record is from Rfam by way of RNAcentral. Lineage: Eukaryota; Metazoa; Platyhelminthes; Trematoda; Plagiorchiida; Troglotrematidae.